AUUCAAUUCCAUAUUCAUAGUGUUAAUGCAUCAGAUCCCAUUAAAACUCCACAGUUACACAUGCUUAGGCUCGAGUAGUAUUGUGAUGGGUUAUCUCCCAGGAAGUCCUAGUGUUUUACAUU
This is a non-coding RNA of Picea glauca (white spruce), 122 nucleotides long. Lineage: Eukaryota; Viridiplantae; Streptophyta; Pinopsida; Pinales; Pinaceae. The record is from Rfam.